GACGGGGCCCGCACAAGCGGUGGAGCAUGUGGUUAAUUCGAUGAUACGCGAGGAACCUUACCUGGGCUCAAAUGUAUGUUGACGUAUUCUGAAAGGGAUACUUCUUCGGACAAUAUACAAGGUGCUGCAUGGUUGUCGUCAGCUCGUGCCGUGAGGUGUCGGGUUAAGUCCCAUAACGAGCGCAACCCCUAUCAUUAGUUGCCAUCAGGUCAAGCUGGGGACUCUAAUGAAACUGCCUACGCAAGUAGUGAGGAAGGUGGGGAUGACGUCAAAUCAGCACGGCCCUUACGUCCAGGGCUACACACGUGCUACAAUGGCCGGUACAAAGGGCAGCUACCUGGUGACAGGAUGCUAAUCUCAAAAGCCGGUCUCAGUUCGGAUCGGAGUCUGCAACCCGACUCCGUGAAGCUGGAAUCGCUAGUAAUCGUGGAUCAGCAUGCCACGGUGAAUACGUUCCCGGGCCUU
This 465-nucleotide ribosomal RNA is filed under the name uncultured Sphingobacteriales bacterium. RNAcentral describes it as "bacterial SSU rRNA". It matches the Rfam family "Bacterial small subunit ribosomal RNA", at positions 916 to 1381 of the family's 1533-position model. The record is from RNAcentral. Lineage: Bacteria; Pseudomonadati; Bacteroidota; Sphingobacteriia; Sphingobacteriales.